Long non-coding RNA from Pan troglodytes (chimpanzee), 1156 nucleotides. RefSeq lists it as uncharacterized. The record is from RefSeq and is a predicted model, not a curated record. NCBI's taxonomy places the organism in Eukaryota, Metazoa, Chordata, Mammalia, Primates, Hominidae. The transcript is spliced from 3 exons.
GAUGGGUCACACUGGGCUUAGCCUCCUUAUACUAACCCUUCUACUGAUCACAGACUCAAGUCACUUCCACGUCCACCUUCCUGCCCGAGAAGCCCCAGCCUGCUGGAGUGAACUUGUUUUACCGAAGAAGGCUGCCAUACAUCAUCGUUUAUCAGGCCUGGUGUAUUGUGAAGAUAGUCUUUCCCAGGAAGAGCCUGCCCCAGCACUGGCAGCUUGGCUCCCCCUUGGAUGGCUGCAGAGAACUGGCCCCUUUUUGAGCUUAUGGUUCUAUGACCCUGACUUUGUCACAAUGUCAAAUGGAGGUUGAUAAAAUAACAACAAAAACUAACUACUUUAAAAAUGAGCAUUUAUUAUGUCCCAGAUACUAAUCCACAAUUCUAAACACUUUACAGGUAUUAAAUCAUUUACUCAAAAUAGGAACUCUUUGUCUCCACUAUGCAGAUGAGGAAACUGAGGCAUGGAGAAGUUCAGUUACUGCAUACCCAGAAGACAGGAACUAUUGGUAUCCAAAGAAACCAAGGCUGAGAGAAGUUAAGCAGCUUGUCCAAGGUCACACAGCAGCAAAACAAGCUAGGAUUGAAAUCCAGGCAGCCUGCUUUUGUCCUUCACCACCACACUCUAAGCGUCGUAUCUCUUUUUUGCAAGACAUAAGGAUCAUUCAUCAGCAGAAAUGGUUCAACCUAGCUUGUUCCUUGUAUUCAUUUGCUUCCACUAUUCCAGUUCUUUCCUUUGGUAAGUUCUUCUUUGGAUUCAACAGGAGUCCAUCAUAUAACUGGAUUAAGAAAAUGUGGCACAUAUACACCAUGGAAUACUAUGCAGCCAUAAAAAAUGAUGAGUUCAUGUCCUUUGUAGGGACAUGGAUGAAGCUAGAAACCAUCAUUCUCGGCAAACUAUUGCAAGGACAAAAAACCAAACACCGCAUGUUCUCACUCAUAGGUGGGAACUGAACAAUGAGAACACAUGGACACAGGAAGGGGAACAUCACACACCGGGGUCUGUUGUGGGGUGGGGGGAGGGGGGAGGGAUAGCAUUAGGAGAUAUACCUAAUGCUAAAUGACGAGUUAAUGGGUGCAGCACACCAACAUGGCACAUGUAUACAUAUGUAACAAACCUGCACGUUGUGCACAUGUACCCUAGAACUUAAAGUAUAAAAAAA